AAUGAACGCUGGAGGCAGGCCUAACACAUGCAAGUCGAACGAGGCAGCAAUGCCUAGUGGCGGACGGGUGAGUAACGCGUGGGAACGUGCCCCUUGGUACGGAAUAGCCCUGGGAAACUGGGAGUAAUACCGUAUGUGGUCGAGAGACGAAAGAUUUAUCGCCAAGGGAUCGGCCCGCGUUGGAUUAGGUAGUUGGUGGGGUAAUGGCCUACCAAGCCGACGAUCCAUAGCUGGUUUGAGAGGAUGAUAAGCCACACUGGGACUGAGACAAGGCCCAGACUCCUCCGGGAGGCAGCAGUGGGGAAUCUUAGACAAUGGGGGAAACCCUGAUCUAGCCAUGCCGCGUGAUCGAUGAAGGCCUUAGGGUUGUAAAGAUCUUUCAGUGGGGAAGAUAAUGACGGUACCCACAGAAGAAGCCCCGGCUAACUCCGUGCCAGCCGCCGCGGUAA
RNAcentral lists this ribosomal RNA (449 nucleotides) under uncultured bacterium. RNAcentral describes it as "partial 16S ribosomal RNA". It matches the Rfam family "Bacterial small subunit ribosomal RNA", at positions 29 to 523 of the family's 1533-position model. The record is from RNAcentral.